AAUAUUUAGACGCUUUAGUCAGAAAUAAGCUAACGCUGUAACUCACAAAUAGAUUUAAUAUCGCCAGUAAUGUAAUUUGGAAAACCUAACACUGUAAUUUAAGUUAGUUACAAUUUUGUAAUUUCAAUAGUCUAAUAUCGUAAUUUCGACAUUAGUGUAAUAUUUGUACGAUAUUUGCAAGUACACAAAGGUGGGAAAUGUGAAAUUAUAAAAGAACAGGUUUACAAGUGAAGAUAAAGGAAUGAUAUUUCUAAAGAGACUUUGAGCACAAACACAUCGCAACACUUGCACCGAAAUGGCUCACGCGGCGGAUAGUUAUUACGCUAUUAAUCGGAUUCUAUUACAAUGUAUUGGCCUAUGGCCAUAUCAAAGAUUUGAUUUCAGGUGUAUUCUAGUAACACUAAUGACUCUAAUGCUUUUAUCCAGCGUAGUAUUGCAGUUCACAACCUUCGUCACGAAAGAAUACAGUUUAGAUCUUCUUCUGAAGAUCCUCGCGUAUAGUAUACCAUUCCUGACUUAUUUGUUGAGAUUUCUUCUUUGCUUCAAAAUGGAGGAGAUGCGAGGUCUUAUACAACGAGUGCGUUUCGACUGGAAUGAAUUAAACAACGCGCGUGAACUUGAAAUAAUAAAAAAAUAUUCCGCUCUCGGAAAAUUUAUCACAUUAGUUGCGAUAUCGUCCAUCUAUCCAAGUAUAUUUGGCUUUAUCUUGAUACAACUUCUGGCAAAUUUUGUUCUGGACUUCAAAACGACUGCAAACGAAACUCGUUUGUGGCAGCUUCCAGCUGAGGUCGAGUUUUUUCUAGAUCAGCAAAAGUAUUUCAUUCCGCUUUUGUCAUAUGUGUUCAUUAUUGUAAUAUGUGGUAUGACCACACUAAUAGCCAUUGAGACACUUUUUAUGUCAUAUGCUCAACACGCGUGUGGAUUAUUCGAAGUAGCCAACUGUCGCAUAGAGCAAGCAUUGCACAAAGGUAUGGCACGAGAUAUAGUAUCUAUUGCUGAAAAAAACUCAAUAAUGUGUCAGGAAAUAGUUAGUGCAGUCGAUGUACACAGGAAAGCACUCGAGUUUAUCGAAAUGUCAAAAGCGAAUUUUAGAUGGGUUUAUUUCAUGGCAUUACCAUUGUCCGUGCUAUCACUCAGCCUCAAUCUAUAUCGCCUCUCUCGACUGAUAACUACCAAUGAAUAUCAGGAUACAAUAUCAACUAGUCUGUUCAUUAUUGGUCAUUUUUGGUAUCUGUUCUUCUGCAAUUAUUUAGGACAGGAGGUGAUCGAUCAUAGCAGCAAUAUCUUUCGUAAAACAUACAACGUACAAUGGUACAUGGUUCCGUUGAAAGUGCAAAAGUUAUUGCUGAUUAUAAUGCAAAGAAGCAUCCAACAUUGCACAGUAAUGAUCGGCGGCUUAUUCAUUCCGUCAUUAGAAGGAUUUGCCACGCUUAUAAGCAUGUCACUGUCGUAUUUUAUGGUAAUGUAUUCCACCCAUUUUUCUAGUUAAUCUUGAAUGACGUCAGCACACAUUUCAGUACGCACGUUGCAAAGAAAGUACUGUAACGUUCUCGUUUCGAAUAGAAGUGGAGAGACGUCGGAAACGUGUGAAGACGACUUUGCAAUUGCGCGUGCGCCGAUCAAACGUAAAAGAGAAAUAUCACCCACAUACGUAAAGAAAAAAAAAUGGGUUAAUCCUGCAAAUAAUAAUGUUCACCAAAGGAUUAUAGAUACAGACCCUGGCCAAAUAUAUGCCAAAGCUAUAAUUUACAUGACUCCAGUAAGCUAUUGUAAUUUUACAAGAGAUCAGCGUAUUAUUUUGAAUGCGCAGAAAGAGUGAAUUAUAAUUUACAAUCAAACGUGACAAACCUAAGUGGUAAUUCGUGGAAAGAAAUUCGACACAAAUGCGUUUUAACAUUUACAGGAAUGGCAAAAUUGCCCGGUAAACCAAUACUAUAUAAUCUAUCGAAUUUUAUUACUAUGCAUUGCCUUGUAACCAUACCAAAAGUGCAGUUUCAGGCGUAUCAUAAUAAUAUUUACAAUGAUUGCAUCAGGCGUAGUAUUUCAGUAUAAGACAUUGUUGUGGGAAUGCAAUGCAUAACAAAUAACGAGAGCUGAUUAUUCCAUUUGCAAGUGACAAAGUAAGCCUUUAUUCAGAUAGUAUACU
Molecule: RNA transcript, 2146 nt
Organism: Vollenhovia emeryi
Lineage: Eukaryota; Metazoa; Arthropoda; Insecta; Hymenoptera; Formicidae
Exons: 11
Source: RefSeq, a predicted model, not a curated record